RNAcentral lists this microRNA precursor (103 nucleotides) under Mus caroli (Ryukyu mouse). Its description in RNAcentral is "miRNA (MGP_CAROLIEiJ_G0007636.1)". Lineage: Eukaryota; Metazoa; Chordata; Mammalia; Rodentia; Muridae. The record is from RNAcentral.
GCAAUGCUGUGCUAUCACAGUGCUCCACUAUGAUAUCACACUGCUCUGUGUAACAUAACGAUGCUGUAUUGUGAUAUUACAAGGCUGUGUGUGCAUCAUAAUG